UUGGAGGGCAAGUCUGGUGCCAGCAGCCGCGGUAAUUCCAGCUCCAAUAGCGUAUAUUAAAGUUGUUGCAGUUAAAAAGCUCGUAGUUGAAUUUCGGAGUUUGUCGGUCGGUCGGGCUUCACUGUCCGCACUGGCCUGAUGGAUUCCUACCUUCUGAAUAACCAGCAUGCUAUUAAGUUAGUGCGUUGGGGAAGCAGAGCUAUUACCUUGAAAAAAUUAGAGUGCUUAAAGCAGGCUUAUGCUUGAAUAGAUUAGCAUGGAAUAAUAAAAUAGGACGGCAUGGUUCUAUUUUGUUGGUUUCUAGGAUCACCGUAAUGAUUAAUAGGGAUAGUUGGGGGCAUUAGUAUUCAAUUGUCAGAGGUGAAAUUCUUGGAUUUAUUGAAGACUAACUUCUGCGAAAGCAUUUGCCAAGGAUGUUUUCAUUAAUCAAGAACGAAAGUUAGGGGAUCGAAGACGAUCAGAUACCGUCGUAGUCUUAACCAUAAACUAUGCCGACUAGGGAUCGGACGAUGUUAAUUUUUUAAUGACUCGUUCGGCGCCUUACGGGAAAC
This 551-nucleotide ribosomal RNA is filed under the name uncultured Acaulosporaceae. RNAcentral describes it as "SSU rRNA". It matches the Rfam family "Eukaryotic small subunit ribosomal RNA", at positions 548 to 1098 of the family's 1831-position model. The record is from RNAcentral. Lineage: Eukaryota; Fungi; Glomeromycota; Glomeromycetes; Diversisporales; Acaulosporaceae.